GGCCACUGCUAUUGGGAUCCGACUAAGCCAUGCGAGUCGAGAGGGUUCGGCCCUCGGCAGACUGCUCAGUAACACGUGGAUAACCUAACCUUAGGUGGAAGAUAACCUCGGGAAACUGAGAAUAAUAUUCCAUAGAUCUAGGAUGCUGGAAUGCAUCUAGAUUGAAAGUUCCGACGCCUAAGGAUGGGUCUGCGGACUAUCAGGUUGUAGUCAGGGUAAAGACCUGACUAGCCUACGACGGAUAUGGGUUGUGAGAGCAAUAGCCCAGAGACGAUAUCUGAGACACGAUAUCGGGCCCUACGGGGCGCAGCAGGCGCGAAAUCUUCACAAUGUGCGAAAGCACGAUGAGGGGAUCCCAAGUGCUGGCACGUAAGUGUCAGCUGUUUCUUAGUCUAAAAAACUGAGAGAGUAAGGGCUGGGUAAGACGGGUGCCAGCCGCCGCGGUAAUACCUGCAGCUCAAGUGGUGGCCGCUAUUAUUGGGCCUAAAACGUCCGUAGCCUGUUUAGUAAAUGCUUGGGUAAAUUGUGUAGCUUAACUAUACGAAUACCGGGUAGACUGCUAAACUUGGGACCGGGAGAGGCUAGAGGUACUCCUGGGGUAGAGGUGAAAUUCUGUAAUCCUAGGGGGACCACCAGUGGCGAAGGCGUCUAGCUAGAACGGGUCUGACGGUGAGGGACGAAGCCCUGGGGCGCAAACCGGAUUAGAUACCCGGGUAGUCCAGGGUGUAAACGCUGCUUGCUUGAUGUUAGUUGGGCUCCGAGCCCAACUAGUGUCGGAGAGAAGUUGUUAAGCAAGCUGCCUGGGAAGUACGGUCGCAAGACUGAAACUUAAAGGAAUUGGCGGGGGAGCACAGCAACGGGUGGAGCGUGCGGUUU
This 876-nucleotide ribosomal RNA is filed under the name uncultured archaeon. Its description in RNAcentral is "bacterial SSU rRNA". It matches the Rfam family "Archaeal small subunit ribosomal RNA", at positions 22 to 903 of the family's 1478-position model. The record is from RNAcentral.